RNAcentral lists this ribosomal RNA (868 nucleotides) under Antrodia heteromorpha. RNAcentral describes it as "eukaryotic LSU rRNA". It matches the Rfam family "Eukaryotic large subunit ribosomal RNA", at positions 77 to 931 of the family's 3401-position model. The record is from RNAcentral. Lineage: Eukaryota; Fungi; Basidiomycota; Agaricomycetes; Polyporales; Fomitopsidaceae.
CCCCUAGUAACUGCGAGUGAAGCGGGAAAAGCUCAAAUUUAAAAUCUGGCGGUCUUUGGCCGUCCGAGUUGUAGUCUGGAGAAGUGCUUUCCGCGCUGGACCGUGUACAAGUCUCUUGGAACAGAGCGUCGUAGAGGGUGAGAAUCCCGUCUUUGACACGGACUACCAGUGCUUUGUGAUGCGCUCUCAAAGAGUCGAGUUGUUUGGGAAUGCAGCUCAAAAUGGGUGGUAAAUUCCAUCUAAAGCUAAAUAUUGGCGAGAGACCGAUAGCGAACAAGUACCGUGAGGGAAAGAUGAAAAGCACUUUGGAAAGAGAGUUAAACAGUACGUGAAAUUGCUGAAAGGGAAACGCUUGAAGUCAGUCGCGUUCGCCAGGACUCACCCUUGCUUUAGCUUGGUGCAUUUUCUGGUUGACGGGCCAGCAUCGAUUUUGGUUGUCGGAUAAAGGCAGGGGGAAUGUGGCAUCUUCGGAUGUGUUAUAGCCCUCAGUCACAUACGACAGCUGGGAUCGAGGACCGCAGCACGCCUUUAUGGCCGGGGUUCGCCCACGUUCGUGCUUAGGAUGCUGGCAUAAUGGCUUUAAACGACCCGUCUUGAAACACGGACCAAGGAGUCUAACAUGCCUGCGAGUGUUUGGGUGGAAAACCCGAGCGCGUAAUGAAAGUGAAAGUUGAGAUCCCUGUCGCGGGGAGCAUCGACGCCCGGACCUGACCUUCUGUGAUGGAUCUGCGGUAGAGCAUGUAUGUUGGGACCCGAAAGAUGGUGAACUAUGCCUGAAUAGGGUGAAGCCAGAGGAAACUCUGGUGGAGGCUCGUAGCGAUUCUGACGUGCAAAUCGAUCGUCAAAUUUGGGUAUAGGGGCGAAAGAC